GGAGCUGUGCCUGAAGUAAAGGGCCACUUUGAUAGAGUGAACCAUGAGGGUUAAAAUCCCUCCAUCUCCU
Molecule: transfer RNA, 70 nt
Filed under: Cheilinus fasciatus (redbreast wrasse)
Lineage: Eukaryota; Metazoa; Chordata; Actinopteri; Labriformes; Labridae
Description: tRNA-Ile
Rfam family: tRNA
About the family: Transfer RNA (tRNA) molecules are approximately 80 nucleotides in length. Their secondary structure includes four short double-helical elements and three loops (D, anti-codon, and T loops).
Source: RNAcentral